GAUGAACGCUGGCGGCGUGCCUAAUACAUGCAAGUCGAGCGAACGGACGAGAAGCUUGCUUCUCUGAUGUUAGCGGCGGACGGGUGAGUAACACGUGGAUAACCUACCUAUAAGACUGGGAUAACUUCGGGAAACCGGAGCUAAUACCGGAUAAUAUUUUGAACCGCAUGGUUCAAAAGUGAAAGACGGUCUUGCUGUCACUUAUAGAUGGAUCCGCGCUGCAUUAGCUAGUUGGUAAGGUAACGGCUUACCAAGGCAACGAUGCAUAGCCGACCUGAGAGGGGGAUCGGCCACACUGGGACUGAGACACGGUCCAGACUCCUACGGGAGGCAGCAGUAGGGAAUCUUCCGCAAUGGGCGAAAGCCUGACGGAGCAACGCCGCGUAAGUGAUGAAGGUCUUCGGAUCGUAAAACUCUGUUAUUAGGGAAGAACAUAUGUGUAAGUAACUGUGCACAUCUUGACGGUACCUAAUCAGAAAGCCACGGCUAACUACGUG
This 497-nucleotide ribosomal RNA is filed under the name uncultured bacterium. RNAcentral describes it as "partial 16S ribosomal RNA". It matches the Rfam family "Bacterial small subunit ribosomal RNA", at positions 28 to 507 of the family's 1533-position model. The record is from RNAcentral.